Molecule: non-coding RNA, 26 nt
Filed under: Homo sapiens (human)
Lineage: Eukaryota; Metazoa; Chordata; Mammalia; Primates; Hominidae
Source: RNAcentral
UGAGGUAAUUAGAUUGGUUCUCUCCA